GACGGAGGAUGCAAGCGUUAUCCGGAAUGAUUGGGCGUAAAGCGUCCGCAGGUGGCAGUUCAAGUCUGCUGUCAAAGACCGGGGCUUAACUUCGGAAAGGCAGUGGAAACUGAACAGCUAGGGUAUGGUAGGGGCAGAGGGAAUUCCUGGUGUAGCGGUGAAAUGCGUAGAUAUCAGGAAGAACAUCGGUGGCGAAGGCGCUCUGCUGGACCAUAACUGACACUCAGGGACGAAAGCUAGGGGAGCGAAUGGG
RNAcentral lists this ribosomal RNA (253 nucleotides) under uncultured bacterium. RNAcentral's name for it is "partial 16S ribosomal RNA". It matches the Rfam family "Bacterial small subunit ribosomal RNA", at positions 524 to 776 of the family's 1533-position model. The record is from RNAcentral.